AGCUGAUCACUGGGUAUAAAGCGUGCGCAGGCGGUUUUGUAAGACAGAGGUGAAAUCCCCGGGCUCAACCUGGGAACUGCCUUUGUGACUGCAAGGCUGGAGUGCGGCAGAGGGGGAUGGAAUUCCGCGUGUAGCAGUGAAAUGCGUAGAUAUGCGGAGGAACACCGAUGGCGAAGGCAAUCCCCUGGGCCUGCACUGACGCUCAUGCACGAAAGCGUGGGGAGCAAACA
This 230-nucleotide ribosomal RNA is filed under the name uncultured Alicycliphilus sp. Its description in RNAcentral is "partial 16S ribosomal RNA". It matches the Rfam family "Bacterial small subunit ribosomal RNA", at positions 550 to 774 of the family's 1533-position model. Lineage: Bacteria; Pseudomonadati; Pseudomonadota; Betaproteobacteria; Burkholderiales; Comamonadaceae. The record is from RNAcentral.